RNAcentral lists this long non-coding RNA (703 nucleotides) under Glycine max (soybean). RNAcentral's name for it is "long non-coding RNA (GMAX_LNC000467)". The record is from RNAcentral. Lineage: Eukaryota; Viridiplantae; Streptophyta; Magnoliopsida; Fabales; Fabaceae.
AACACAUCAUCAAGUUUGAGCCAGUAAAAGUCUGAAAAAUUAAAACUGUGAAAGUUGAUAGCAAUAGCUGGAAGUAUUUACCUCUGAAAUUUAUUUUUCUUUUCUGCUUUCACUGUUUGAUCUGAAUGUAUUGUUUUUGAUUAUUAACACGUUCAGGUUAGUAUUUAGAUUUUACAUUUGAUACCAGAGUCUUGUAUGUCUCUGCCUUGCUUUGUUUGACACUCAUAUAUCUGAAACGUUGUUUUAUUAAGAUAUGGACAUUCUGUUUUUGAACAUUUUAAUCAUUAAUAAGACCUGAAAUCAUAUGGAAAUUGAGUUUCUAAGCUUUCUGUGAAUUAAAACGAUGAGUUUGGUGUUGAGAAUGAAGAAACAAUCAGGUUUCUAUUUAGGUUUGCGGGAUGGAAAAGGUAUCGCCUUGUUACGUCGGCAUCACGUGAAAUGUUAGUCCAUACUGCAAAGGUCUUUUGUUAUUGCUUCCUUUGACCCACCGUGACAUCAAAUGUUUUAAUAAGCUAAUAAUCUGAUGCGAGCCCUUUGUUUCUACUUAAUUGAAGUCCAAUAGUCCUCUUGAUAUCACAUGAAAGUUUGAAACAAGUUAAUGUCAUGUUUAUGAUCUUGAAAGCCCUUUAUGUGAGGCCAUCAUUUUCUUCUUUUGAAAGUUCAUGUAUAUUGUUUACUUUUACAAUCAUAUUUCUAUACGUGC